This 1858-nucleotide ribosomal RNA is filed under the name candidate division WWE3 bacterium. RNAcentral's name for it is "partial 23S ribosomal RNA". It matches the Rfam family "Bacterial large subunit ribosomal RNA", at positions 1061 to 2925 of the family's 2925-position model. The record is from RNAcentral. Lineage: Bacteria; candidate division WWE3.
UAGUGGGAAAGGAAGUAGAACUGUUUAGACAGCUAGGAGGUUGGCUUAGAAGCAGCCACCCUUUAAAGAUAGCGUAAUAGCUCACUAGUUCAACGGUUUUGCGCCGAUGAUGUAACGGGGCUCAAGCAAAGUACCGAAGCUGCGGAUCCGCUUUUGCGGAUGGUAGGGGAGCAUUGAUGUCAGCUGCGAAGGUUGAUCGUGAGGUUGGCUGGAGCGGCAUCAAGUGAGAAUGUCGGCAUGAGUAACGAGAGGGUGGUGAAAACCCACCCCGCCGGAAGCCUAAGGUUUCCUCCGCAACGUCAGUCAACGGAGGGUUAGUCGGGCCUAAGGUGAGGCCGAAAGGCGUAAUCGAUGGACAGCAGGUUAAUAUUCCUGCACUGCCAUAAAAUCGCUAUUACUGAUGGAGGGACGGAGUUUGAUAGAUCGAGCCCAUUAUGGAUUUGGGUCCGGAAGACAAGACAGUCUGUGUAGGCAAAUCCGCACAGGCGUUUAUUCGAGUCGGCGGGAAGGCCCGUAAAAAGGUCAAUUCGGUUGCGUUAAGCUUCCAAGAAAAGCUUCUAAGGAGAUUUUAUGGUAUCCGUACCGCAAACCGCCACAGGUAGGCAGGUAGAGAAUACUAAGGCGAACGAGAGAACCGUGGUCGAGGAACUAGGCAAAUUACAUCCGUAACUUUGGGAAAAGGAUGCCCUACUUGUCAUUGAUGGGUAGGGGGCACAAAAAUGGCUCAAGCGACUGUUUAGCAAAAACACAGGUCUCUGCUUAACUCGUAAGAGGAGGUAUAGGGGCCGACGCCUGCCCAGUGCCCGUAAGUUAAAGCCGGGGGUGAUCAUCGUUUAGGCGAUGUGAGCUUUUGGUCGAAGCUCGGGUGAACGGCAGCAGUAACUAUAACUGUUCUAUGGUAGCGUAAUCCCUUGCCGGGUAAGUUCCGGCCCGCACGAAAGGCGUAACGACUUGAGCACUCUCUUAAUCACGGACUCGGUGAAAUUGAACUACCGGUGAAGAUGCCGGUUACUCGUUGUUGGACAGAAAGACCCCGUGGAGCUUUACUGUAGUCUGGUAUUGAUAAGCGAUACUAACUGUGUAGCGUAGGAGGGAGUCUGAGGCGUAAAACCCGAAGACAUCAAUGAAACACCUCUCUUUUAUUAUUGUGAGUCUAACUAUGCACCGUGAAUCCGGUGCGAGGACAAUGCUUGAUGGGCAGUUUAACUGGGGCGGUUUCCUGCUAAAAAGUAACGCAGGAGCCCAAAGGUUCCCUUAUCCCGGAUGGAAAUCGGGAUGUAAGCGUAAAGGUAUAUGGGAGCUUGACUGCAAGACCUACAAGUCGAGCAGGUACGAAAGUAGGGCUUAGUGAUCUUCCAAGUGCCUCAUGGUAGGCCUGGAACUUAUCGGAUAAAAGUUACCCCGGGGAUAACAGGCUAAUCCCGCCCGAGCGUUCACAGCGGCGGCGGGGUUUGGCACCUCGAUGUCGACUCGUCUUAUCCUGGAGCUGAAGCAGGUUCCAAGGGUUGGGCUGUUCGCCCAUUAAAAAGGCGCGUUAGUUGGGUUCAGAACGUCGUGAGACAGUUCGGUCCCUUUCCACAACGAGCGCAUGUGUUCUGAGGAGGGCUGCUCCUAGUACGAGAGGACCGGAGCGGACGAACCUCUAGUGUUCCAGUUGUCACGCCAGUGGCAUCGCUGGGUAGCUACGUUCGGUCUUGAUAAGUGCUGAAAGCAUCUAAGCACGAAGCAUACUCCAAGAUUAGAACACUUCCGCGUAAGCGGACGCACCUCCUGGGAGACGACCAGGUUGAUAGGCUGCAGGUGUAAGUACAGUAAUGUAUUCAGCUAAGCAGUACUAAUGUGUGUGCAACUUUUUAUA